This 1398-nucleotide ribosomal RNA is filed under the name uncultured bacterium. RNAcentral's name for it is "bacterial SSU rRNA". It matches the Rfam family "Bacterial small subunit ribosomal RNA". The record is from RNAcentral.
AGAGUUUGAUCCUGGCUCAGGAUGAACGCUGGCGGCGUGCUUAACACAUGCAAGUCGAACGAGGUAAGAUGAUCUUUUCGGAGUGAGCCUUACCGAGUGGCGGACGGGUGAGUAACGCGUGGGUAACCUGCCUCAUACAGGGGGAUAACAGUUAGAAAUGACUGCUAAUACCGCAUAAGCGCACAGUACCGCAUGGUACGGUGUGAAAAACUCCGGUGGUAUGAGAUGGACCCGCGUCUGAUUAGCUAGUUGGUGAGGUAACGGCUCACCAAGGCGACGAUCAGUAGCCGACCUGAGAGGGUGACCGGCCACAUUGGGACUGAGACACGGCCCAAACUCCUACGGGAGGCAGCAGUGGGGAAUAUUGGUCAAUGGUCGAGAGACUGAACCAGCCAAGUCGCGUGAGGGAUGACUGCCCUAUGGGUUGUAAACCUCUUUUGUUUGGGAAGAAUAAGUUUUACGUGUAGAACGAUGCCGGUACCAAACGAAUAAGCAUCGGCUAACUCCGUGCCAGCAGCCGCGGUAAUACGGGGGAUGCAAGCGUUAUCCGGAUUUAUUGGGUUUAAAGGGUGCGUAGGCGGCUUAUUAAGUCAGCGGUGAAAUUUAGGGGCUCAACCUCUACCGUGCCGUUGAUACUGGUAUGCUGGAAUGCGGAUGCCGUGGGAGGAAUGUGUGGUGUAGCGGUGAAAUGCAUAGAUAUCACACAGAACACCGAUUGCGAAGGCAUCUCACGAAUCCGCUAUUGACGCUGAUGCACGAAAGCGUGGGGAUCAAACAGGAUUAGAUACCCUGGUAGUCCACGCUGUAAACGAUGAUGACUAACCGUCGGCGAUACACAGUCGGUGGCCAAGCGAAAGCGAUAAGUCAUCCACCUGGGGAGUACGUUCGCAAGAAUGAAACUCAAAGGAAUUGACGGGGGCCCGCACAAGCGGAGGAACAUGUGGUUUAAUUCGAUGAUACGCGAGGAACCUUACCCGGGCUCGAACGGCAGAUGAAUUGAGUAGAGAUAUUCAAGUCUUCGGACAUCUGUCGAGGUGCUGCAUGGUUGUCGUCAGCUCGUGCUGUGAAGUGUCGGCUUAAGUGCCAUAACGAGCGCAACCCUUGCCAUUAGUUGCCAUCAGGUUAAGCUGGGGACUCUAGUGGGACUGCCACCGCAAGGUGUGAGGAAGGGGGGGAUGACGUCAAAUCAGCACGGCCCUUACGUCCGGGGCGACACACGUGUUACAAUGGUGGGUACAGAGGGAAGCUACCUGGCGACAGGAUGCAGAUCUCGAAAACCCAUCCCAGUUCGGACUGGAGUCUGCAACCCGACUCCACGAAGUUGGAUUCGCUAGUAAUCGCGCAUCAGCCAUGGCGCGGUGAAUACGUUCCCGGGCCUUGUACACACCGCCCGUCAAG